UAUAUAUUAACAAUAGAAACCAUUACUAAAAGUACUGUGGAGGCGCUGAGAGGGGCUGAGGUUGGAGUAUUUCAAAUUGGAGCUCCCUCAGCGUUUUCGUCACUGUGCAUUUCAAAGGACGCUGCUGCGAUUCGAAAUUGUGUUGUUCUUCAGAUUUCGGCUCCUCCCUCCAAAACCUGUAGCAGUUCGAAAGGUGUGAAUAGGAACGCAAGAUUCUUAGUAAUCAAUAUGUUGUUUGCUUCAUCCCUUUCCCUAUAAAUAACAAUUGAUAGUUUCCAUUUCCAUCACAAUCCAUUCUCGAUCAGUUCUUCAUCUUCUCUGUUUUGGGAUUUCUAAUGGGUAGGAAGCAGAGAGAAUGAAGGUUAGAGUUGUAAGGAUUCCUCAUAUCAAUUCUUGCCUCCAGUAGCAUCUGCUCCACUUAUAGUGCAUAAGACUUCUUGGUUGAGUUGCUGUGGCCUAUUCGAUGUUCUGUCAGGCUCUAACGGAUAAAUCAGACGGCGAACAACGACCAACAUUUCUUUGGUGAGGUUAGAAUCGGAGGUGCUGAUCUUGCAAAGUCUGUGAAAAUUGAAAAAAGUGGGAUUAGUUACAUUGAUAUUCCAAUUACCUUCAGGCCUAAGGAUUUUGGGUCACUUAAGCAUUCACACAGAACAAAGGUUAUCACUAGGUCCUCCCUUUCUUCACUAUAACACACAGCCACUGUGGCAUAUCACUAGCAAUGGCAAUGAUCAUAAGAAAAUGGAAGUCAUUGGCUUGGUAGAUGGAGAUGGGACCGAAACCGGAUAUAUAAUUGUCAGUCACAACCAUUGCUGGUAAAAAUGGCCAGCCAAAGCAGGUGUGCGUGUGUUUGAUUUAUCAUUUUUUAUAAUUAUUGGACAGCUAUGAACUUACAUGGUUGCUUUUGCUUUAAUUAUUUUAGACAAUAAGAUAUAUGCACUAAUUUUGAGAUAUAAUGUAUUGUCUGUACAUACUCAGGAAUCUAUUAGAGGCAUCAAUGAGUAUGUGUAUGACUUUUACAAUAUAUUUAAGAUUACACGAGUCAAUUUGUUUAAGCCUUACAAAUGCUAAUUCUAUCUGAUUAACCAUUCUUUAACCUUUUUAUGAUAACGCAUAUCGAGUUAAAAAGCAACAACAAAUUGAAAUAGCAGGUCUUCUUCAAAGACUCCAUGGGAUGAGUUUGAAGGGAUUGUGUUGCUUAGGUUUGGCGUGUAAAGAUGAGUUGGGAGAAUUCUCAGACUAUUAUGCAGACACUCAUCAUCGAUUGAAAGUGAUUUAAUUUUUCCUGGUGUUGUUGGUUUAAGAAACCCUCCUAGAGAGGAAGUUCAUAAAGCAAUUGAGGAUUGUAAGCAAGCUGGUAUUAGAGUUAUGGUAAUAACAGGAGAUAAUAAGUCAACAAAUGAGGCUAUUUGUAAGGAAAUCAAAUUUUUCUUAGAGUUUGACAGGUAAAUAAUUCAUGUCUCUUUCUCAUUCAGAACAAGUUAAAUUAUUGUUGAGAGAAUGAGGCAAGGUUUUCUCUCGAGCCGAGCCUAGACACAACGAAGAAAUUGUGAGACUAUUGAAGGAAAUGGGAGAGAUUGUUGCAAUGACUGGAGAUGGUGUGAAUGGUGCACCUUCACGUAAGCUUGCUGACAUAGGAAUUGCUAUGAGAAUAACUGGAACUGAGGUAAGGUAACCUGACUUUUGCUAUACUGAGGUCGCGGUUAUGCUGCAAACCUAUAUAUUGUAGUAAUAAUUAAUAAAGGUUGAAAUAAUAUUUCACCAUUUUAUCAUAAUAUUUGUUUAAAAUUUAUUUAUAUUGUGGUAAGAAGGUGAAAUAUGAUUUAAUAUUUGUCAUAAUCAUUAGUUGAAGUGUGGGGUAAACCUCAAAGCUAAGACGUGUCUUACUUCGCUGUGAUUAUUUCUAACCUUAUAUUGCUAAAUAACAUAGGUUGCAAAAGAAGCUUCAACUAUGAAGCUUGCAGGUGACAAUUGUAGUUAUAAUUGAAACAGGAUCGAAAAACAAGAAUGCUCCUUGGAUUAGUCUUAAUUGUUGUUAUUCUUUACUUGCUGCUGAAGCUCUUCCAUUGUUAAUGUUUCCUCUACUAUUUUGUUUCUCUAAUCAGCCUGUUUGCCAUGAUGUUAGUAAUUUUAAACUGAUAAUAUCCAUAUGGAGUUAAAAAAAAUGUGUUUUAAGGUGAAUAUGAAGCACAAAGCAUAAUAAUUAUUCAGAAACUUGAUCUUAAGUAGAUUGACAUUUGUUUUAGCUUCUUGAAUGUACUUCUUUAUCUUGGUAGCAAUGAUGUUCAAUGCCUAUGUAAUUAUUCUUUUUAUGUAGAUAUUUAUAUUUAUAUAGAUUGUAAAUGCGAGCUUCCGUUUUUGGUUUUGUAUAUAUUAAAAUUAAAGUUUGCUGUUAAUGAAGUUGUUUUAAGAGUUUAAAAUUAGCACAUUAUGCUCCUGUAAAUUUCGAAUGGAGAUUUAAUUAUUGAAAUUUCAAAAUGUGUAUGGUGAAAUGAAAUUUGUUUUACUCUUCUUGCAUGUGUUCAUAUUUGAUUUGAUGAUGCUGCCAUUGAUUACAACUCUUAAGAACCCUUUUGAACCAACUCACAAGUUAUAUUGACAAGAAAGUUGUUGUGAGCUAUAUUUUAGUCUAUUAUUAGUUUUAGAUGUCUACUUUUUUGGUAUUGAUUUUCACAUCCACAGGCCCAGGGUAGCUGACGCUAAUGCACAUUGUGACUUAUUUAUGUUUGGCCCAGAAUUCGCUUUUUAAUCCUUCAAUGCUUGUCCUAUAAACUGUGUAAUUUGUAAUGAUUCGGUGGAGAGUGAUUGGCAUUUUCUUUUUUAGUGUGAUAUGAGUAUUCAGAGCUGGCAAACAGCAGGAUUAUGGCCUCAAAUUUGGGACAGAGUUCAAAGAAUGAAUUCAGUAGCAGAAGUGGUGCUAGAUAUUUGUUCGUGAGAAGUCGAGGCUGUGGUGAAUUGAUUUAUGAUGAUUGUGGCAUAAUAGGAAUGAAUGGAUAUGGAAUCAAAAACAAAUGAACCCAAACCAGAUUACUCAAUGGUCAGAUUGAUUUAGGUUGAAGGCAUAUGGCACCACUCUAACUCCACUCUAACUCAGGUGGAAUUAGGCCUUUCAAACUACAAUUUGCAUGAUUAAGAUGAGUUAGAUUUAUAAGCUUACCAAAAUGAAGUGGAACUCCAUCAUCAAACUCAUUGUAAUAUCCUAAAAAAGGAAAGCUUCACUUCAGUGGUUCUUGGAGAAAAGGAAGAAUAGGGCAUCAUAUCAAACAACUUAUCCAGUAGCAACCACUAAUAAGACAGUUGAUGAAUCAUGGCAUGGCUCUUCUUGACAUCACAACACAAAUCUGAAUGUAGCUCCACCUCAAUGUUAUUUUAACCGAUUUUGUUUUGUUGGACAAACUCCAACAUUUAAUAGGCUUCUUUGCUAUCCUGUUGUUGUUUCUCUAUGAAUUGGAUUGAUCAAAUCAGAUGUGUGUUUCUCUAUUUUUGCGGGACUGAGUCCUAUGCUAAGAAAAAUAUCUACACAUAUUUGUGAAGGUUGUUGCUCAUGCUUAUUAGUAUCAUAUUUAAGAAUGUAGUUUUGAUUGACCCCACACAGUGUACUUAUAGUUACUUACAUUCAUUAUA
This is a long non-coding RNA of Trifolium pratense (red clover), 3621 nucleotides long. RefSeq lists it as uncharacterized. The record is from RefSeq and is a predicted model, not a curated record. Lineage: Eukaryota; Viridiplantae; Streptophyta; Magnoliopsida; Fabales; Fabaceae. The transcript has 10 exons.